Molecule: RNA transcript, 3046 nt
Organism: Homo sapiens (human)
Lineage: Eukaryota; Metazoa; Chordata; Mammalia; Primates; Hominidae
Gene: TPM1
Gene name: tropomyosin 1
Exons: 10
Source: RefSeq, marked reviewed
GCUCGCACUCCCGCUCCUCCGCCCGACCGCGCGCUCGCCCCGCCGCUCCUGCUGCAGCCCCAGGGCCCCUCGCCGCCGCCACCAUGGACGCCAUCAAGAAGAAGAUGCAGAUGCUGAAGCUCGACAAGGAGAACGCCUUGGAUCGAGCUGAGCAGGCGGAGGCCGACAAGAAGGCGGCGGAAGACAGGAGCAAGCAGCUGGAAGAUGAGCUGGUGUCACUGCAAAAGAAACUCAAGGGCACCGAAGAUGAACUGGACAAAUACUCUGAGGCUCUCAAAGAUGCCCAGGAGAAGCUGGAGCUGGCAGAGAAAAAGGCCACCGAUGCUGAAGCCGACGUAGCUUCUCUGAACAGACGCAUCCAGCUGGUUGAGGAAGAGUUGGAUCGUGCCCAGGAGCGUCUGGCAACAGCUUUGCAGAAGCUGGAGGAAGCUGAGAAGGCAGCAGAUGAGAGUGAGAGAGGCAUGAAAGUCAUUGAGAGUCGAGCCCAAAAAGAUGAAGAAAAAAUGGAAAUUCAGGAGAUCCAACUGAAAGAGGCCAAGCACAUUGCUGAAGAUGCCGACCGCAAAUAUGAAGAGGUGGCCCGUAAGCUGGUCAUCAUUGAGAGCGACCUGGAACGUGCAGAGGAGCGGGCUGAGCUCUCAGAAGGCCAAGUCCGACAGCUGGAAGAACAAUUAAGAAUAAUGGAUCAGACCUUGAAAGCAUUAAUGGCUGCAGAGGAUAAGCAAAUGUGCCGAGCUUGAAGAAGAAUUGAAAACUGUGACGAACAACUUGAAGUCACUGGAGGCUCAGGCUGAGAAGUACUCGCAGAAGGAAGACAGAUAUGAGGAAGAGAUCAAGGUCCUUUCCGACAAGCUGAAGGAGGCUGAGACUCGGGCUGAGUUUGCGGAGAGGUCAGUAACUAAAUUGGAGAAAAGCAUUGAUGACUUAGAAGACGAGCUGUACGCUCAGAAACUGAAGUACAAAGCCAUCAGCGAGGAGCUGGACCACGCUCUCAACGAUAUGACUUCCAUGUAAACGUUCAUCCACUCUGCCUGCUUACACCCUGCCCUCAUGCUAAUGUAAUAAACUCACCACCAUGCCUUCCUUGCUCCCUAAUCUCCAUCUUUGCACUCUUGUGUUCACCCUUUUUGUCAUAACCUAGAAUAGUCAUUGUUUUUUCACUUUCUGCUAAUAUAAAGGCCAAUUAGAUUAAGUCUGUCUAUACAAACCAUUUUCUUUUCAGAAUCCGUUUAUUUUGUAAACGCUGAACUAGAGCAGUGAACUAGAAUGAGUGACCUUGAGCACUGUCCUUUUGGGAAAUUAAGCUAAACUCAAGUAAAACUAGAAGGCCAUGCCGUUUGUUGUACAGGAACUUCUCAAAAAAUAUCAAAAUUUGUUUCCUGAAAUUCAACUAAGUACAACAUAAUCAUUUUCGUUAAAUAUAAUUUGAAGGAACCCUUAAAGUGUCAGGUUAUUGAGAAUCUGAGGAUAAGGAAAUUGGCAUGAUCCAAUACAGCUUUAACAGUGGUACUACAAAAGAUCAUCUCUUUUACUUUUAAGAAUUCUAGAGUAGGCCGGGCACAGUGGCUCACGCCUGUAAUCCCAGCACUUUGGGAGGCCGAGGCGGGCGGAUCACGAGGUCAGGAGAUUGAGACCAUCCUGGCUAACACGGUGAAACCCUGUCUCUACUAAAAAUACAAAAAAAAUUAGCCGGGCGUGGUGGUGGAUGCCUGUAGUCCCAGCUACUCAGGAGGCUGAGGCAGGAGAAUGGCAUGAACCCGGGAGGUGGAGCUUGCAGUCAGCCGAGAUCGCACCACCGCACUCCAGCCUGGACGACAGAGCGAGACUCUGUCUCAAGAAAAAAAAGAAUGGUAGAGUAAAAAGAACCCUCUGCUGAGUAACCAAGCCUUUAAUUUUGUGUUUUUAUGAAAGGAAUUAAAAUACCCACGAUAAAUAUUUACCACAACCUGUGUCAAAUAAAUGGGAAAUUAAACACAGAUUGUACAAUGUGAGCUUGGGAGUUAAUGGCCCAGAUUUUACUGUUAGGCAGUAAGAGUUGGAGUAGGUAGUCUUGUUAUCAUGAGAAGAACCUUGAACAGAUACAACUAAUUUACAUAUUACUAACCAAACUUAAACAUUAAACUUUUUCUACUACUUUAAAUUCUAACCUGGAAUGUUUCAGAGUUCUUCAUUCUAAUAUCACCCUGAAUUCCAUUGAAGCUGGAAAUGUCAUUUUCCAAGCCCACCUGUCAUUCAUUUACCCAUGCAGAAAAAAUGGUAACUUGAAGAGAGUGGCAUGUGCCUGCUGCCUUAGAGGUUAUAGAAUCCCCACAGUCAACAAAAAAGCCUCUAGAGACAUGACUGUUGCCAUGGAAACCAGAGAAAAUGUGUCUUCUCAUCCCUCAUUUGUAAAUGAGGGGGUGGAGCAGAUCAUCUGUCUCUAAGGUCUUUUUCAGUGCUAAAAUGUGGUGAUUCUUUGGGAAAAACUUUUUGCAUCAAGUAUGAUUAAAUAUUCUGAAAGACGAGUGUAGCUUAAAAUUUUUUUUGUUUUUAAAUUCUGUUCAUGGGUCUUCUUAAAAUGGACCCUUGCCGAAAGGCGGCCUGUGACGGCCUCAGGUGGGAAGAUGGAUGUCCUUCCAAGGGUGUGGCUGGCAGUGGGGUUUGCAUGACUGCUUCUUGUCUGUGUUUCAAGUGCUCUCAUCUAUUGGUUUGGUUUCCUUUCUUUUUUUUUUUUUUCUCAUUGUGCCACUUUUUUUUUCCUCCCACCUUUUUAUCUUCACGCAGAUAAGUUUCUUUGCUUCACUUCUCCCAAGACUCCCUCGUCGAGCUGGAUGUCCCACCUCUCUGAGCUCUGCAUUUGUCUAUUCUCCAGCUGACCCUGGUUCUCUCUCUUAGCAUCCUGCCUUAGAGCCAGGCACACACUGUGCUUUCUAUUGUACAGAAGCUCUUCGUUUCAGUGUCAAAUAAACACUGUGUAAGCUAUUUCUGUUUGCUAUUCUUUUUACUUCUUAUUUAUUGACAUUUUAGUUUCAACAUUGAAUAAAACUACAAAGCUGCUUCACACAUA